Molecule: non-coding RNA, 278 nt
Organism: Zonotrichia albicollis (white-throated sparrow)
Lineage: Eukaryota; Metazoa; Chordata; Aves; Passeriformes; Passerellidae
Source: RefSeq, a predicted model, not a curated record
CUCCUGAAGCAGAAGGACAGGCUUGUACAAAAGGUCCAGAAGAACUGCGACAUUGUCACAGCUUGUUUACAGGCAGUUUCCCAGAAACGCUCAUGACAGUUACAGAAAUGUUCAGGAAAGUGGUGGAUUCCUCCAUGUUGGAUGCUUUUAAGAUUUGGCUGGACAGGAUGCUGGACCAUUUUGCCUAGACCAUGCUUUUGUUGAGAAAAGUUGAUGAUCCCUGAGGUCCCUUCCAAGCUGAUAUUCUGAGAUUUGGUGAGUGAUUUCACCCUGGAUCA